Nicotiana tabacum (common tobacco) is the source of this 1882-nucleotide non-coding RNA. The record is from RefSeq and is a predicted model, not a curated record. NCBI's taxonomy places the organism in Eukaryota, Viridiplantae, Streptophyta, Magnoliopsida, Solanales, Solanaceae.
CCAAUUGUCCAUCAUUUUCUCUUUUCUUUUUCCUGGAGUAUAUACCUUUUUAUUUUUUAUUUUUAUUCCAAAUCUUUUUGUGGAAAUAGAAGCGAGAAGUGAGAUAAAUGGAGGGGAAAACGGAGAAGGAAAACAAGAGUGUGAAGAAGAAAGCAUGCGAUGUGGAGGCUCUGAAGAAGUGUUUGGAAGAAAAUAAAGGCGACUAUUUGAAAUGCCAGUCUCAUAUUGAAGCUUUUAAGUCAUCUUGCUCCAUCAACAACCCUAAUUCUUCUUCAGAAUAGCCCCCAAAACUCAGCUCCGGUUCGGAUUCCGAUCCUAUGAUUAUAACUUCUUGAAAUUUGAUACUGACAGCUUUCGUUAACUUCUUCUUUCAUUAUAAUGUUGGUAAUUAUUAGCUAUGCGUGCAAUAUUGGAAAAGCUUAUUCUUUGUCGUUGAUAAAGUUGGUCAAGUUGCAAGCUUGAAUGCAAAGAGAAUGGUUUUCUAUGAAAAUUAGAGCUUUUUUUUACUGUUUUGGGAUAAUAGUGAAGGUUUGAUUUACUGUGAAAGAAGAGUCUUUCAAUUCCAAUUGCUGUUGAUAAGUGUUUGUGCCCAAGGUCAGUUUAUUUCACAAAUACUAAUGCCUCGGGUUUUUGCUUGUGAAAGAGAGACUUUUUUGGUACUCUGGGGAUGUUUGUAACCGAGUCUAGUUGUAAUCCUUGGCUCUGCCAACUGGUGGAACCAGGAAUUGUAACAAGGGGAUUAGAAUAAUGCAAAACUUGCAGAUUGUGUGAAGGCACUUAGGUAUCAAGUGGAUUCAAAAAUUAUUUUAUAUAUAUAAAAAAAAUUGUUCUUGCCCUAUUUGCAUGGUGUAACUUUUCGAUGAAGGGGAUUCAGUUGAACCCCAUUCAGUACACUGCACCACUGUCUGCCAACACAUAUUGGUCUAUGACUUGAACGCAUUCGUAAGGCUCUAAAUGAGUUUCCUGCAAGAUUUGCCUUUUGGAAAGAAAGGAACAGGAUUUUCAGAGGGUUGAUAAAUCUUGCUCAGGGUGUAAACUAACAUUGUUACUCCAAAACUGGUACGUCCAGCAAAAGCUUCUCAGUUGCUGAUUAGUCAUUUAUGAUUCAAGCAUAUUAACCCAUUCAGAAAUUAGCAAUCUUAAUGAAAACAAAAGUGGAGGGGUGCAAUUGUUUUGUUUGCUAAUAGAUUAGGUGUUAUAUAUUGGUUAUGCUGUUUUAUUGGCUUAUCCAAGAAAAGCAAGUAAAAGUUGUGCUUGAAAAUAUUGAUGAGGAGAGGUGUGGUUUACAAAGUAAUGAUUGCUUGAUCUUUCUUUGCCAUAACUAAUUCGAUUUAUGUCUUUUCUAUGCUCACAUUUUAUGUGAAGGGAGCAUUCACUCAAGUUGCUGUUUAAAAUAGUGACUUCAAAUUUGGAUCACUAAUUAGUUGCCUGCCAACUUGGGUUGGGAGUUUCUGAUGAUUGUCAGAUUAGUUCAAUAAUUGCUGCAGUUGUAGAGGACCUCAGAUAAGCAACUUGAAUGAAGAUUGGAAGACCAAAGCCCUGUCUUCUGCUGUUAGCAGUAAUAAAGCCAAAAAGAAGAUUCUAAGUACAAUUCACUGCCUUGUUUGUAAAAGUGCACAACUAAGUCUAUAGGUUUCUCAUCUUUUUAAUUUCUUCAGCUUUAACCUGUUUCCACAUAUUCAGUGAUUCCAGAAAUAUGUGGUUUGUGGUAAGUAAGGAAGAGAGGGAAAUAAGUGCUGUUGGAUGGCAAUUAUAGAUUUUGCAUGGCUUUAGCAUGUUAUGCGUUUACUUACAUCAUGUCAAAUGUGAAGUCCGCAUAUUUGUCUAUUAGUGCCUCAGUUCCUUGAUAAGUUGCCAGAAAAAAUGGUCUUUAUUUUCUUUC